RNAcentral lists this ribosomal RNA (488 nucleotides) under uncultured bacterium. RNAcentral's name for it is "bacterial SSU rRNA". It matches the Rfam family "Bacterial small subunit ribosomal RNA", at positions 28 to 512 of the family's 1533-position model. The record is from RNAcentral.
GAUGAACGCUAGCGAUAGGCCUAACACAUGCAAGUCGAGGGGCAGCACAUGAGUAGCAAUACGAUGGUGGCGACCGGCGCACGGGUGAGUAACACGUAUGCAACCUACCUCUAACAGGGGGAUAACCCGUUGAAAGACGGACUAAUACCCCAUAAUACAGGGGCUCCGCAUGGAGAUAUUUGUUAAAGAUUUUAUCGGUUAGAGAUGGGCAUGCGUUCCAUUAGCUAGUUGGUGAGGUAACGGCUCACCAAGGCGACGAUGGAUAGGGGAACUGAGAGGUUUAUCCCCACACUGGAACUGAGACACGGUCCAGACUCCUACGGGAGGCAGCAGUGAGGAAUAUUGGUCAAGUGGAGGCAACUCUGAACCAGCCAAGUCGCGUGAAGGAUGAAGGUCUUAAUGGAUUGUAAACUUCUUUUAAAGUAGAAUAAGUGACCUAGUGUAGGUUUUAUGUAUACUAUGAAUAGGAUCGGCUAACUCGUGCCAGC